Molecule: long non-coding RNA, 643 nt
Filed under: Rattus norvegicus (Norway rat)
Lineage: Eukaryota; Metazoa; Chordata; Mammalia; Rodentia; Muridae
Description: long non-coding RNA NONRATT031892
Source: RNAcentral
AGGCUGCUCAAGAGAACCAAAGACGCGUUGCUUUUCUGUCCACUAGGGGGCUACUUGUAGAAGACUGGGGAAAACAGCUUAAAAAAAUAUGCUGCUGAAAUUUCAGUAAGAGGGGAAAAGAGAGAGCUUGUGAGAGACAGCAGAGCGGUCCCAGACUUCCUCAUCUCGUUCACGUCAGAGGCAGGAACGGACUGUGCUAAGGCUGUUGGCUCAACACGCAGAGACAGAGCCGAACAGCCUCAGAGACAGGGAAAGAAGAAGACCUCCCUAACCCAAGAAAUUACCACGAGUGGAGUAAAGCCAUCUGACUUUUUGGUCUUAUUUUGGUUGCCUCUUCUCUCCUUCUACUGGUAGACCUACCUACCAGCUGCCGUUUCGUUUCUUUCGUGAAGCCUUCUCUCUGCCUCUCAGUAAAAAGAGGAAGGGAAGAGAGGGAGAGAGGUGGGCGCUCUAGGUGAGCGCAUCAGCUGGCUCCAGCUCGAACAGACAAGAAUUCUCUGCCUAGGAAGCUGCUCUCGCUCUCCGGCUACCCACCCCCCAACCUGGGUGCCUGCAUUCAUUGCUCAGAGGUCGGAUCUCAUCUGGAGUUAGACUCACAGAGCACGUGGUCAAGAGAAAUCAUCAGAGAGGACGACAUCACGAG